UCUCUGGUCUGUACUGACGCUGAGGAGCGAAAGCGUGGGGAGCGAACAGGAUUAGAUACCCUGGUAGUCCACGCCGUAAACGAUGAGUGCUAAGUGUUAGGGGGUUUCCGCCCCUUAGUGCUGCAGCUAACGCAUUAAGCACUCCGCCUGGGGAGUACGGUCGCAAGACUGAAACUCAAAGGAAUUGACGGGGGCCCGCACAAGCGGUGGAGCAUGUGGUUUAAUUCGAAGCAACGCGAAGAACCUUACCAGGUCUUGACAUCCUCUGACAAUCCUAGAGAUAGGACGUCCCCUUCGGGGGCAGAGUGACAGGGGGUGCAUGGUUGUCGUCAGCUCGUGUCGUGAGAUGUUGGGUUAAGUCCCGCAACGAGCGCAACCCUUGAUCUUAGUUGCCAGCAUUCAGUUGGGCACUCUAAGGUGACUGCCGGUGACAAACCGGAGGAAGGUGGGGAUGACGUCAAAUCAUCAUGCCCCUUAUGACCUGGGCUACACACGUGCUACAAUGGACAGAACAAAGGGCAGCGAAACCGCGAGGUUAAGCCAAUCCCACAAAUCUGUUCUCAGUUCGGAUCGCAGUCUGCAACUCGACUGCGUGAAGCUGGAAUCGCUAGUAAUCGCGGAUCACCAUGCCGCGGUGAAUACGUUCCCGGGCCUUGUACACACCGCCCGUCACACCACGAGAGUUUGUAACACCCGAAGUCGGUGAGGUAACCUUUUAGGAGCCAGCCGCCGAAGGUGGGACAGAUGAUUGGGGUGAA
RNAcentral lists this ribosomal RNA (758 nucleotides) under Bacillus sp. BAB-5309. Its description in RNAcentral is "bacterial SSU rRNA". It matches the Rfam family "Bacterial small subunit ribosomal RNA", at positions 726 to 1484 of the family's 1533-position model. Lineage: Bacteria; Bacillati; Bacillota; Bacilli; Caryophanales; Bacillaceae. The record is from RNAcentral.